ACUCCUACGGGAGGCAGCAGUGGGGAAUUUUGGACAAUGGGCGAAAGCCUGAUCCAGCCAUGCCGCGUGAGUGAAGAAGGCCUUCGGGUUGUAAAGCUCUUUCAGGUGGAAAGAAAUCACUACCCGAUCACGGGUGGUGGAUGACGUUAGCGACAGAAGAAGCACCGGCUAACUCCGUGCCAGCAGCCGCGGUAAUACGGAGGGUGCGAGCGUUAAUCGGAAUUACUGGGCGUAAAGCGCAUGCAGGUGGUUUGUUAAGUCAGAUGUGAAAGCCCGGGCUGCAACCUCGGAACUGCAUUUGAAACUGGCAGACUAGAGUACUGUAGAGGGGUGGAGAAUUUCAGGUGUAGCGGUGAAAUGCGUAGAGAUCUGAAGGAAUACCGGUGGCGAAGGCGGCCCCUCGGACAGAUACUGACACUC
Molecule: ribosomal RNA, 420 nt
Filed under: uncultured bacterium
Lineage: Bacteria
Description: bacterial SSU rRNA
Rfam family: Bacterial small subunit ribosomal RNA
Source: RNAcentral